RNAcentral lists this ribosomal RNA (496 nucleotides) under uncultured bacterium. RNAcentral describes it as "bacterial SSU rRNA". It matches the Rfam family "Bacterial small subunit ribosomal RNA", at positions 30 to 507 of the family's 1533-position model. The record is from RNAcentral.
AUUGAACGCUGGCGGCAGGCCUAACACAUGCAAGUCGAGCGGCAGCGGGAAAGUAGCUUGCUACUUUUGCCGGCGAGCGGCGGACGGGUGAGUAAUGCCUGGGAAAUUGCCCAGUCGAGGGGGAUAACAGUUGGAAACGACUGCUAAUACCGCAUACGCCCUACGGGGGGGGAAAGCAGGGGGACCUUCGGGCCUUGCGCGAUUGGAUAUGCCCAGGUGGGAUUAGCUAGUUGGUGAGGUAAUGGCUCACCAAGGCGACGAUCCCUAGCUGGUCUGAGAGGAUGAUCAGCCACACUGGAACUGAGACACGGUCCAGACUCCUACGGGAGGCAGCAGUGGGGAAUAUUGCACAAUGGGGGAAACCCUGAUGCAGCCAUGCCGCGUGUGUGAAGAAGGCCUUCGGGUUGUAAAGCACUUUCAGCGAGGAGGAAAGGUUGUUGGCUAAUACCCAACAGCUGUGACGUUACUCGCAGAAGAAGCACCGGCUAACUCCGUG